RNAcentral lists this long non-coding RNA (338 nucleotides) under Centruroides sculpturatus (bark scorpion). RNAcentral describes it as "uncharacterized LOC111623067, transcript variant X2". Lineage: Eukaryota; Metazoa; Arthropoda; Arachnida; Scorpiones; Buthidae. The record is from RNAcentral.
CUAGGCACGUGAAGUUCAUAUUUAGACCCCGAAUAUCAGGAGCUUCGAAAGUGUAAAAAAAUGAUGGCAUCACUUGUUGCUGUAGCAAUGGUAUCCUGUGCAGACGGAUAGUUAUUGAUAAAGUGAGUCCGGAACUUCGUUAUCUGACAGCUUACAUGGUUUUUAUCGAUUUUAUUGGUGUGUUUGGACUGCUUGUUUCCUUGUUUCUUCAAUGUCCACAAAUUGAAAUGACAGGAACUACUCUCGUCGGACAUGAGUAUGGACAGAGGCGGAUUAAGGUCGGUUGAGGCCCCGGGCGCAGAAGAAAAUAUUAGGCACCUUAAAAAAGAGAGAGACAG